UACAGAGACUGCAAGCGUUAUUCGGAUUCACUGGGCGUAAAGGGCGCGUAGGCGGCCUGCUAAGUCGGAUGUGAAAUCCCUCGGCUCAACCGAGGAACUGCAUCCGAUACUGGCGGGCUUGAAUCCGGGAGAGGGAUGUGGAAUUCCAGGUGUAGCGGUGAAAUGCGUAGAUAUCUGGAGGAACACCGGUGGCGAAGGCGGCAUCCUGGACCGGUAUUGACGCUGAGGCGCGAAAGCUAGGGGAGCAAACGGG
RNAcentral lists this ribosomal RNA (253 nucleotides) under uncultured bacterium. Its description in RNAcentral is "partial 16S ribosomal RNA". It matches the Rfam family "Bacterial small subunit ribosomal RNA", at positions 524 to 776 of the family's 1533-position model. The record is from RNAcentral.